GACGAACGCUGGCGGCGUGCCUAAUACAUGCAAGUUGAGCGCUGAAGGUUGGUGCUUGUACCUACUGGAUGAGCAGCGAACGGGUGAGUAACGCGUGGGGAAUCUGCCUUUGAGCGGGGGACAACAUUUGGAAACGAAUGCUAAUACCGCAUAAAAACUUUAAACACAAGGUUUAAGAUUGAAAGAUGCAAUUGCAUCACUCAAAGAUGAUCCCGCGUUGUAUUAGCUAGUUGGUAAGGUAAAGGCUCACCAAGGCAAGGAUACUUAGCCAACCUGAGAGGGUGUCGGCCACCUCGGGACUUGAGCACGGCCCCAACUCCUUAGGGAGGCAGCCGGAGGGAAACUUCGGCAAAGGACGAAAGGCCUACCGGACAACGGCGCGUGAGGGAAGGAGGGUCUCGGAUCGUUAAACUCUGUUUGUAGGGAAGGACGUUGGUGGGAGUUAAAAGCUCAUCAAGUGACGGUAACUACUCAGAAAGCGACGGCUAACUACGUG
Molecule: ribosomal RNA, 496 nt
Filed under: uncultured bacterium
Lineage: Bacteria
Description: partial 16S ribosomal RNA
Rfam family: Bacterial small subunit ribosomal RNA
Source: RNAcentral